AUUAAUUGUGAUCGAUCGAUUAGAAGAAUCAGAAGUCACGUAUUACGAAUUAAUACGGAUAGAGAAAGCCUCAUUAGAAAUGUAAUAAUAGAAUGGAUAUCUCCACGAGAGAUUUUGUCAUCAAGCCGCAUCUGUCAUCCAUGCUGGCAGAGA
This is a long non-coding RNA of Melitaea cinxia (Glanville fritillary), 153 nucleotides long. RefSeq lists it as uncharacterized. NCBI's taxonomy places the organism in Eukaryota, Metazoa, Arthropoda, Insecta, Lepidoptera, Nymphalidae. The transcript has 2 exons. The record is from RefSeq and is a predicted model, not a curated record.